This 395-nucleotide ribosomal RNA is filed under the name uncultured bacterium. RNAcentral's name for it is "bacterial SSU rRNA". It matches the Rfam family "Bacterial small subunit ribosomal RNA", at positions 957 to 1353 of the family's 1533-position model. The record is from RNAcentral.
UAACGCGAAGAACCUUACCAGGUCUUGACAUACUAUGCAAAUCUAAGAGAUUAGACGUUCCCUUCGGGGACAUGGAUACAGGUGGUGCAUGGUUGUCGUCAGCUCGUGUCGUGAGAUGUUGGGUUAAGUCCCGCAACGAGCGCAACCCUUAUUAUCAGUUGCCAACAUUAAGUUGGGCACUCUGGUGAGACUGCCGGUGACAAACCGGAGGAAGGUGGGGAUGACGUCAAAUCAUCAUGCCCCUUAUGACCUGGGCUACACACGUGCUACAAUGGAUGGUACAACGAGUUGCGAACUCGCGAGAGUAAGCUAAUCUCUUAAAGCCAUUCUCAGUUCGGAUUGUAGGCUGCAACUCGCCUACAUGAAGUCGGAAUCGCUAGUAAUCGCGGAUCAGC